UUUUAAAUAUUAUAUAUGAAUUAUUUUUAUACAAUAUAUUAAUUACAAGAAAAAAAUUGUUUAACGAAAAAAAAAAAGUAGAAAUACAUGGACGAAUGAGAGAGAGAGAGAAGAAGUGGGAGCGGUAGUUAUCAGCAACAGCAGUGGUCACGGGUUUCUCUUGACCGAGCACCCCACAAAACCUCAAUUUGCAUAUCCCCCAC
This 203-nucleotide long non-coding RNA is filed under the name Gossypium raimondii (Peruvian cotton). RNAcentral describes it as "long non-coding RNA (GRAI_LNC008367)". The record is from RNAcentral. Lineage: Eukaryota; Viridiplantae; Streptophyta; Magnoliopsida; Malvales; Malvaceae.